This 231-nucleotide ribosomal RNA is filed under the name Triticum aestivum (bread wheat). RNAcentral describes it as "partial small subunit ribosomal RNA". Lineage: Eukaryota; Viridiplantae; Streptophyta; Magnoliopsida; Poales; Poaceae. The record is from RNAcentral.
AUGAUCUCUGCUAGCACCGGCAACCUCUAUCCCUUCAUUGGUAAUAAACCAGCACGGGCGUCUGCACUCCUCACCACCACCUCGGAUUUGUGGCAUCGUCGUCUCGGGCACCCCGGCGCUCAUACCCUUUCUACUAUUUCUCGUGAUUUUCUUAGUGAUUGUAACAAGGCACCACAUCUCCCAUGUAGCGCUUGUCAAUUAGGGCGCCAACUUUUGCCCCAUUUGAUUUAA